RNAcentral lists this ribosomal RNA (253 nucleotides) under uncultured bacterium. RNAcentral describes it as "partial 16S ribosomal RNA". It matches the Rfam family "Bacterial small subunit ribosomal RNA", at positions 524 to 776 of the family's 1533-position model. The record is from RNAcentral.
UACGGAGGAUCCAAGCGUUAUCCGGGUUUAUUGGGUUUAAAGGGCGCGUAGGUGGCCCGGUGAGCGUGCGGUGAAAGCUCGGGGCUCAACCCCGAGUCGGCCGUGCGAACUGCUGGGCUUGAGCACUGUAGAGGCAGGCGGAAUUCCGGGUGUAGCGGUGGAAUGCGUAGAGAUCCGGAAGAACACCGGUGGCGAAGGCGGCCUGCUGGGCAGUGGCUGACACUGAGGCGCGACAGCGUGGGGAGCAAUCAGG